GACGAACGCUGGCGGCGUGCUUAACACAUGCAAGUCGAACGAGUGACGAACGGGCGAGUAACACGUGGCUGACCUGCCCUGCACUUCGGGAUAAGCCUGGGAAACAGCGUCUAAUACUGGAGAGUGUGCGAUGGGCUCGGGGCGGAUCAGAUUGUUGGUGGGGUAAUGGCUACCAAGGCGCGACGCGUAGCCGGUCUGAGAGGGUGGGCAGCCACAUUGGGACUGAGACACGGUCCAGACUCCUACGGGAGGCAGCAGUGGGGAAUAUUGCACAAUGGGCGCAAGCCUGAUGCAGCCAUGCCGCGUGUGUGAAGAAGGCCUUCGGGUUGUAAAGUACUUUCAGCGGGGAGGCGUUACCCGCAGAAGAAGCACCGGCUAACUCCGUGCCAGCAGCCGCGGUAAUAC
This 405-nucleotide ribosomal RNA is filed under the name uncultured bacterium. RNAcentral describes it as "partial 16S ribosomal RNA". It matches the Rfam family "Bacterial small subunit ribosomal RNA", at positions 28 to 526 of the family's 1533-position model. The record is from RNAcentral.